This 63-nucleotide transfer RNA is filed under the name Puerulus angulatus. Its description in RNAcentral is "tRNA-Lys". Lineage: Eukaryota; Metazoa; Arthropoda; Malacostraca; Decapoda; Palinuridae. The record is from RNAcentral.
CACUCGGUGGCUGAAAAAAGUGUAGGUCUUUUAAACCUAUUAUGGUAUAAAUACCCCGGAUGG